Molecule: ribosomal RNA, 200 nt
Filed under: uncultured bacterium
Lineage: Bacteria
Description: partial 16S ribosomal RNA
Rfam family: Bacterial small subunit ribosomal RNA
Source: RNAcentral
GACGAACGCUGGCGGCGUGCUUAACACAUGCAAGUCGAGCGGUAAGGCCCUUUCGGGGUACACGAGCGGCGAACGGGUGAGUAACACGUGGGUGACCUGCCCUCAGCUCUGGGAUAACGCCUGGGAAACCGGGUCGUAAUAACCGGAUAUAGACUCCAUGACGCAUGUUGUGGGUGGAAAGCCUUGUGCGGCUGAGGAAU